UAACAUUUUAGUUGAGCAAGUUAAUACCUGCACUUCACAGUCCCUUCUCAGAGAUGAUGAAUCUUAAAACCACAGCUGUUCUUUUGAUCAUUCUGAGUUUUGUCACUGUCAAUUCUGAAGCUAAACUUAUUAGCUGUUGUACAGAGACGGCAUCUUACAUCCCAUUGAGUAUUCUAAGAAAAGUGGACAGAAUUGAAAUGCAGAAAGAAGAUGGCUUGUGUGACAUUAAAGCUGCAGUAAUCCAUGUGAAUGGGAAAAAACUGUGUUUGGAUCCAGAUAUCAAGACAAUUAAAAAGUGGAUCAAAAUGAAGACCCAGAGGAAAUACAGAAGCGAGAUUUUUUAAACUACCAUAUUGACAGCAGGAAGCAAUGAAACCUGAUCAGGAGCAGGAAUGAAGUUAGACUUCAGUCUAAAUAUAAUAGUUUGCUCACUAUCGGUUACCACAAACAUUUCAUUUUUAUACACAGUUUAUUAAAAUGCUUUAUAAGAUACAUUUCAUUAUUUGUAACACUAAUGCCCAAACACUUCUAGACUCUUACAGUCAGCGAUGGUCAUUCACCUAAAAAAAAUCUCUAAGUUUCAGAAAACACACCUGUUUAGUAGUCCACUUGUUUAGUCCAAUAGUUACUUGUUUCAAUUUAUUUGUAAAUUUGUAAACCACCAGCCAUAUACUGAAUAUCUGAAUCAUGAACGGGGCCAAAAAAUUAAACAGUACUUAUUAGUAGUAUUUCACACAGUAAUGUGAAAAAAGUAUUACACUACAUAUAAUGUAGACAACUGUAUAAAAAAAUAAACAUAAUAUUUCCUCAAUUUGAUUUAGUUAUGACACAAAAUACUUAAGAAACUUUUUACUGAAUUAGAGGUGUGUUACACUGUGAUGACAUCAUCAUACCUGGUGAAAAACAAUAAGCUUGGAUCAAGACAAACACUAGUGAUCACCUGGAAAUACCUUAUUCAAUAACAUAAUAACCAAAUUAAAAAAAAAAAGGUAUCUGUAAGUAUCUGUUGUGGUUUUAGGUAUAGUGUACAUGGAUGUACCAGUAUCAUAAUAUUUUAAACAUUUAUUUGUAAAACUACAGCUACAUACAGUAGCUCACUACAUAUUGUCUAUGAUACAUGCCAAUGCUUUCUUUUUCUAAAACUGUACACUAACGUUUAUUUUUUCAUCAAAAUA
Polyodon spathula (Mississippi paddlefish) is the source of this 1175-nucleotide long non-coding RNA. RefSeq lists it as uncharacterized. The record is from RefSeq and is a predicted model, not a curated record. The transcript has 3 exons. NCBI's taxonomy places the organism in Eukaryota, Metazoa, Chordata, Actinopteri, Acipenseriformes, Polyodontidae.